GGAAUCUUCGGCAAUGGGGGCAACCCUGACCGAGCAACGCCGCGUGAGUGAAGAAGGUUUUCGGAUCGUAAAGCUCUGUUGUAAGAGAAGAACGUGUGUGAGAGUGGAAAGUUCACACAGUGACGGUAACUUACCAGAAAGGGACGGCUAACUACGUCACG
RNAcentral lists this ribosomal RNA (161 nucleotides) under uncultured bacterium. RNAcentral's name for it is "partial 16S rRNA". It matches the Rfam family "Bacterial small subunit ribosomal RNA", at positions 358 to 510 of the family's 1533-position model. The record is from RNAcentral.